Molecule: non-coding RNA, 73 nt
Organism: Pangasius djambal
Lineage: Eukaryota; Metazoa; Chordata; Actinopteri; Siluriformes; Pangasiidae
Source: the annotation of a GenBank genome assembly
GCAUGGCUAGCUCAGUUGGGGGCGUAUGAGACUCUAAAUCUCAGGAUUGUGGGUUUGAGCCCCAUUCUGGGCA